UAAAAUUGCAUUUUUUUUUUUGCAUAAUCUAUACAAAAUCUGACAAUUUCACACAAACUGUUGCGGUAAAAAAAAAUCUGGUGACCCUUAUUUUAGAAAUAUUGGUAAAAAAGCAUUAUUUAAACUACAGUUUGACAAAUUAUUAAAAAAAAAAUGGAUCUGAAUUAAGACAGCCCCCAUCUACCUUAAUCACACAGACAGCAUUUUUCAUAUAUCCGUGUAUAACUAUAAAAACAAGCAAUUCAUGAGAGAAGAUUUACCAAAACCAUAUUGUGUUCAAUCAUUCAAAUAGGGUAGAACUUUUUAUAUCGAUUUUAUAAAUUUUAUUGAAAGGACAUUGUCAUAUCUGUAUUUUGAUAAAGACUGCCAUAUGUUUCAAUGUGUCUCGAAGUAACGAUCGGUGUUGUGUUGAUUAGAAAUAUCUCAAUAGUUUGAUAUGUUACCAC
RNAcentral lists this long non-coding RNA (446 nucleotides) under Mytilus galloprovincialis (Mediterranean mussel). Lineage: Eukaryota; Metazoa; Mollusca; Bivalvia; Mytilida; Mytilidae. The record is from RNAcentral.